UUGACAAAGUGGUCAUUGAGAGCAAUGCAGCCUCAGCAUCAGAGGUGGAAGAGUAAGUGUCACUUAUUAAAGUUGUAGGUGACAACCUGGUCCUCAGUGUAGUCCAGGAUGCCCUUAAAGGAGCCCUCUAGUGCCUGCUUCCCCUCUUUGCUGAUGUCGUGGUGUUUG
This 168-nucleotide long non-coding RNA is filed under the name Lynx pardinus (Iberian lynx). Lineage: Eukaryota; Metazoa; Chordata; Mammalia; Carnivora; Felidae. The record is from RNAcentral.